Chenopodium quinoa (quinoa) is the source of this 906-nucleotide long non-coding RNA. RefSeq lists it as uncharacterized. The record is from RefSeq and is a predicted model, not a curated record. NCBI's taxonomy places the organism in Eukaryota, Viridiplantae, Streptophyta, Magnoliopsida, Caryophyllales, Amaranthaceae. The transcript has 2 exons.
UAAAAGAAAUCAAAGGAAAUGAACAACCUGAGAAAGUUGCGCUUUAUCAUUCUCCACUAGUAGAAAAAAUGAAAUAGGCACCCCCCCAAGAACCGGUGCCAAAAGAAAUGGGCGGGAUUUAAAAAUUCGAUUUUGGCACUGGUUCGCCUUAAACCAGUGCCAACUAUGGUAAAAAGCACUGGUUCAAACCGGUGCGAAUUAAAAAAGACAAAAAAAAAGUAGAAAGGUAUGCGUUACUCUGCUUCUACUUCUUUCUUUGUUUCCCCUUGCUUUUCAUUUUCGGUUUUCCCUAACUCUCGUUUUCGCCCUUCUCUUAGCUUCGACCACCUCUGAAGUUCCACCUUUCUCCAAAUCUCUACUCCAUUACGCGUGCUCGUAGUUCUCCAUUGAAGCGCAUUAUGAGCUUUGUCCAUAUCAAUCCUCCACUACGCGUACUGUUAAUUCUCCAUUGAAGCGGAUUCGAGCUUUCUCACCUCCAUUGAAGCAGCUUCGAGGUAAAGGCACUUAUGAAGGAUCAUUUAAAUGGAAAAUCAGGAGGAUCAAGUGAAAAGUCGUCUGAGCCUAGUGCAUCAGUUGAACUGAACUCACGUAACUUUGAUGAUUUAGUGCUGAGUACAGAAAGGAGAGCAUUGCUUUACAGAAAGGAGUCAUCUUGAAAGCUAUUCUUAUUGUUUAUGUGGUGAUUAAUGAUUUUUUUGUCAGUGGAACCCUUAGUUUUCCAUUAAACAUUUACGCGUUUGUAAUAUGCAUCUCCAUUUUAGUAACAUGGAUAAUGUGGUGUUUAUACUAAUUUUGGUUCUUGCCUGUUUUCGUUGUCAACCAUCUGCUGUAGUUUGUUUGUGUUGCAAAAAGGUUAUUUCUUUACCAAUGACUCUAUGAGAGGGAUACACUCUUCUACAGUCUUAA